Molecule: ribosomal RNA, 253 nt
Filed under: uncultured bacterium
Lineage: Bacteria
Description: partial 16S ribosomal RNA
Rfam family: Bacterial small subunit ribosomal RNA
Source: RNAcentral
GACAGAGGUGCCAAGCGUUAGGCGGAAUCACUGGGCGUAAAGCGCACGUAGGCGGAUGUGUCAGUCAGGGGUGAAAUCCCGGGGCUCAACCUCGGAACUGCCUUUGAUACAGCACGUCUCGAGUCCGGAAGAGGUGGGUGGAAUUCCUAGUGUAGAGGUGAAAUUCGUAGAUAUUAGGAAGAACACCGGUGGCGAAGGCGGCCCACUGGUCCGGUACUGACGCUGAGGUGCGAAAGCGUGGGGAGCAAACAGG